AGAGUUUGAUCAUGGCUCAGAAUCAACGCUGGCGGCGUGCCUAACACAUGCAAGUCGAACGAGAAAGUGGAGCAAUCCAUGAGUAAAGUGGCGACCGGGUGAGUAACACGUGACCAACCUACCUUCGAGUGGGGGAUAACUCCGGGAAACCGGAGCUAAUACCGCAUAACAUCUUUGGAAUGCAAAUUCCGUUGAUCAAAGGAGCAAUUCGCUUGAAGAGGGGGUCGCGGCUGAUUAGCUAGUUGGCGGGGUAAUGGCCCACCAAGGCGGAGAUCGGUAGCCGGCCUGAGAGGGCGCACGGCCACACUGGAACUGAAACACGGUCCAGACUCCUACGGGAGGCAGC
This 346-nucleotide ribosomal RNA is filed under the name uncultured bacterium. RNAcentral's name for it is "bacterial SSU rRNA". It matches the Rfam family "Bacterial small subunit ribosomal RNA", at positions 8 to 352 of the family's 1533-position model. The record is from RNAcentral.